RNAcentral lists this ribosomal RNA (462 nucleotides) under uncultured bacterium. RNAcentral's name for it is "partial 16S ribosomal RNA". It matches the Rfam family "Bacterial small subunit ribosomal RNA", at positions 28 to 507 of the family's 1533-position model. The record is from RNAcentral.
GACGAACGCUGGCGGCGUGCUUAACACAUGCAAGUCGAGCGGAAAGGCCCUUCGGGGUACUCGAGCGGCGAACGGGUGAGUAACACGUGAGUAACCUGCCCUAGGCUUUGGGAUAACCCCGGGAAACCUGGGCUAAUACCGGAUAUGACCUGGUGCCGCAUGGUGUUGGGUGGAAAGUUUUUUCGGCCUGGGAUGGGCUCGCGGCCUAUCAGCUUGUUGGUGGGGUGAUGGCCUACCAAGGCGAUGACGGGUAGCCGGCCUGAGAGGGCGACCGGCCACACUGGGACUGAGACACGGCCCAGACUCCUACGGGAGGCAGCAGUGGGGAAUAUUGCACAAUGGGCGGAAGCCUGAUGCAGCGACGCCGUGUGAGGGAUGAAGGCCUUCGGGUUGUAAACCUCUUUCAGCAGGGACGAAGCGUGAGUGACGGUACCUGCAGAAGAAGCGCCGGCCAACUACGUG